UACGGGGGGGGCAAGCGUUGUUCGGAAUUACUGGGCGUAAAGGGCUCGUAGGUGGCCAACUAAGUCAGACGUGAAAUCCCUCGGCUUAACCGGGGAACUGCGUCUGAUACUGGAUGGCUUGAGUUUGGGAGAGGGACGCGGAAUUCCAGGUGAAGCGGUGAAAUGCGUAGAUAUCUGGAGGAACACCGGUGGCGAAGGCGGCGUCCUGGACCAACACUGACACUGAUGAGCGAAAGCCAGGGGAGCAAACGGG
RNAcentral lists this ribosomal RNA (253 nucleotides) under uncultured bacterium. Its description in RNAcentral is "partial 16S ribosomal RNA". It matches the Rfam family "Bacterial small subunit ribosomal RNA", at positions 524 to 776 of the family's 1533-position model. The record is from RNAcentral.